UGUCAGUUUACAGAAAGAUCAGUGAAGUCAGUUCAGAGAUACCUCAGUAUGCUAAACCAAAUCAAAUUUCCACUGUUUUCAAAGUGGUGACACUGAUAAAUGAUUUUGGACAUCAGUAACUAAUGAGGUAUACGAGAGAGUCUCAGAAUAAGUUGUAGCUUUCAUUUGAUCAGAUGGACUCAAGGACAGUCACUGAGGUGUAAGGGACUACAGACUGGAGCCUUUCUGGCAGUUUCAAGAAGCCAGUGACAAGGCCUCUGAAGCUACCUUACAUACAGCAACCAACAGACUGAGGAAGAAGGCAGACUGCUUGGAUAAAUCCUCAGAAAAAAACAUUUUAUUUUGCCAUAUCCUGUGUCAUUUACUUAGCC
Long non-coding RNA from Mauremys reevesii (Reeves's turtle), 371 nucleotides. RefSeq lists it as uncharacterized. The record is from RefSeq and is a predicted model, not a curated record. The transcript has 3 exons. Lineage: Eukaryota; Metazoa; Chordata; Testudines; Geoemydidae.